This 330-nucleotide ribosomal RNA is filed under the name uncultured eukaryote. RNAcentral's name for it is "partial 18S ribosomal RNA". It matches the Rfam family "Eukaryotic small subunit ribosomal RNA", at positions 1470 to 1796 of the family's 1831-position model. The record is from RNAcentral.
CCCUUAGAUGUUCUGGGCCGCACGCGCGCUACACUGAUGAAUUCAACGAGCUCCUAACCUAGGCCGAAGGGUCCGGGUAAUCUUUGAAAUUUCAUCGUGAUGGGGAUAGAUUAUUGCAAUUAUUAAUCUUCAACGAGGAAUUCCUAGUAAGCGCGAGUCAUCAGCUCGCGUUGAUUACGUCCCUGCCCUUUGUACACACCGCCCGUCGCUCUUACCGAUUGAAUGGUCCGGUGAAAUGUUCGGACCGCGACAAGGCGGACGGUUCGCUGUCAGCUUUGCUGCGGGAAGUUCAUUAAACCUUAUCAUUUAGAGGAAGGAGAAGUCGUAACA